ACGGGGAGCAGCAGGCGCGAAACCUUUACACUGCACGCCAGUGCGAUAAGGGAAUCCCAAGUGCGCAGGCACAGAGCCUGCGCUUUUGUACACCGUAGGGAGGUGUACGAAUAAGGGCUGGGCAAGACCGGUGCCAGCCGCCGCGGUAAUACCGGCAGCCCGAGUGAUGGCCGAUCUUAUUGGGCCUAAAGCGUCCGUAGCUGGCCGCACAAGUCCAUCGGAAAAUCCACCCGCCCAACGGGUGGGCGUCCGGUGGAAACUGUGUGGCUUGGGACCGGAAGGCGCGACGGGUACGUCCGGGGUAGGAGUGAAAUCCCGUAAUCCUGGACGGACCGCCGAUGGCGAAAGCACGUCGCGAGGACGGAUCCGACAGUGAGGGACGAAAGCCAGGGUCUCGAACCGGAUUAGAUACCCGGGUAGUCCUGGCCGUAAACAAUGCCUGCUAGGUGUGGCUCCCGCUACGAGCGGGUGCUGUGCCGUAGGGAAGCCGCUAAGCAGGCCGCCUGGGAAGUACGUCCGCAAGGAUGAAACUCAAAGGAAUUGACGG
This 547-nucleotide ribosomal RNA is filed under the name uncultured archaeon. Its description in RNAcentral is "bacterial SSU rRNA". It matches the Rfam family "Archaeal small subunit ribosomal RNA", at positions 325 to 871 of the family's 1478-position model. The record is from RNAcentral.